This 434-nucleotide ribosomal RNA is filed under the name uncultured bacterium. RNAcentral describes it as "partial 16S ribosomal RNA". It matches the Rfam family "Bacterial small subunit ribosomal RNA", at positions 30 to 506 of the family's 1533-position model. The record is from RNAcentral.
AGCGAACGCUGGCGGCAGGCCUAACACAUGCAAGUCGAGCGGGCACUCUCGGGUGUCUGCGGCGGACGGGUGGGUAACGCGUGGGAACGUGCCCUCUGGUUCGGAAUAACUCAGGGAAACUUGAGCUAAUACCGGAUACGCCCUUUUGGGGAAAGGCGUGCUGCCGGAGGAUCGGCGCGCGGCUGAUUAGCUAGUUGGUGAGGUAACGGCUCAGCAAGGAGACGAUCAGUAGCUGGUCUGAGAGGAUGAUCCGCCACACUGGGACUGGGACAAGGCCCAGAUUCCGGCGGAAGGCAGCAGUGGGGAAUAUGGGACAACGGGCGCAAGCCGAAGGCAGCCAGGCCGCGUAAGUGAUGAAGGCCUUAGGGUUGUAAGGCUCUUUUAUCCGGGACGUUAAUAACGGUACCGAAGGAAUAGACCCCGGCAAACUUCGU